RNAcentral lists this ribosomal RNA (818 nucleotides) under uncultured bacterium. Its description in RNAcentral is "bacterial SSU rRNA". It matches the Rfam family "Bacterial small subunit ribosomal RNA", at positions 638 to 1455 of the family's 1533-position model. The record is from RNAcentral.
UGACUNGAGUGCAGAAGGGGAGAGUGGAAUUCCAUGUGUAGCGGUGAAAUGCGUAGAUAUAUGGAGGAACACCAGUGGCGAAAGCGGCUCUCUGGUCUGUCACUGACGCUGAGGCUNGAAAGCGUGGGUAGCGAACAGGAUUAGAUACCCUGGUAGUCCACGCCGUAAACGAUGAGUGCUAGGUGUUAGGCCCUUUCCGGGGCUUAGUGCCGGAGCUAACGCAAUAAGCACUCCGCCUGGGGAGUACGACCGCAAGGUUGAAACUCAAAGGAAUUGACGGGGGCCCGCACAAGCGGUGGAGCAUGUGGUUUAAUUCGAAGCAACGCGAAGAACCUUACCAGGUCUUGACAUCCCGAUGCUAUUCUUAGAGAUAGGAAGUUACUUCGGUACAUCGGAGACAGGUGGUGCAUGGUUGUCGUCAGCUCGUGUCGUGAGAUGUUGGGUUAAGUCCCGCAACGAGCGCAACCCUUAUUGUUAGUUGCCAUCAUUAAGUUGGGCACUCUAGCGAGACUGCCGGUAAUAAACCGGAGGAAGGUGGGGAUGACGUCAAAUCAUCAUGCCCCUUAUGACCUGGGCUACACACGUGCUACAAUGGUCGGUACAACGAGUUGCGAGCCGGUGACGGCAAGCUAAUCUCUGAAAGCCGAUCUCAGUUCGGAUUGGAGGCUGCAACUCGCCUCCAUGAAGUCGGAAUCGCUAGUAAUCGCGGAUCAGCACGCCGCGGUGAAUACGUUCCCGGGCCUUGUACACACCGCCCGUCACACCACGAGAGUUUGUAACACCCGAAGUCGGUGAGGUAACCUUUUAGGGGCCAGCCG